AUACGUAGGGAGCGAGCGUUGUCCGGAAUUACUGGGUGUAAAGGGAGCGUAGGCGGGAGUGCAAGUCAGAUGUGAAAUACAUGGGCUCAACCCAUGGGCUGCAUUUGAAACUGCAUUUCUUGAGUGAAGUAGAGGUAAGCGGAAUUCCUGGUGUAGCGGUGAAAUGGGUAGAUAUCAGGAGGAACACCGGUGGCGAAGGCGGCUUACUGGGCUGUUACUGACGGUGAGGCACGAAAGCGUUGGGAGCAAACAGGAUUAGAUACCCCGGUAGUCCACGCUGUAAACGAUGAUGACUAGGUGUGGGGGGACUGAACCCUUCCGUGCCUCAGUUAACACAAUAAGGCAUCCCCCUGGGGAGUCCGGCAUCAAGGUUGAAACUCAAAUGAAUUGACGGGG
This 396-nucleotide ribosomal RNA is filed under the name uncultured bacterium. RNAcentral describes it as "partial 16S ribosomal RNA". It matches the Rfam family "Bacterial small subunit ribosomal RNA", at positions 523 to 918 of the family's 1533-position model. The record is from RNAcentral.